AUGAACGCUGGCGGCGUGCCUAAUACAUGCAAGUCGAGCGAACGGACGAGAAGCUUGCUUCUCUGAUGUUAGCGGCGGACGGGUGAGUAACACGUGGAUAACCUACCUAUAAGACUGGGAUAACUUCGAGAAACCGGAGCUAAUACCGGAUAAUAUUUUGAACCGCAUGGUUCAAAAGUGAAAGACGGUCUUGCUGUCACUUAUAGAUGGAUCCGCGCUGCAUUAGCUAGUUGGUAAGGUAACGGCUUACCAAGGCAACGAUGCAUAGCCGACCUGAGAGGGUGAUCGGCCACACUGGAACUGAGACACGGUCCAGACUCCUACGGGAGGCAGCAGUAGGGAAUCUUCCGCAAUGGGCGAAAGCCUGACGGAGCAACGCCGCGUGAGUGAUGAAGGUCUUCGGAUCGUAAAACUCUGUUAUUAGGGAAGAACAUAUGUGUAAGUAACUGUGCACAUCUUGACGGUACCUAAUCAGAAAGCCACGGCUAACUACGUG
Molecule: ribosomal RNA, 496 nt
Filed under: uncultured bacterium
Lineage: Bacteria
Description: partial 16S ribosomal RNA
Rfam family: Bacterial small subunit ribosomal RNA
Source: RNAcentral